This 587-nucleotide ribosomal RNA is filed under the name uncultured bacterium. RNAcentral's name for it is "bacterial SSU rRNA". It matches the Rfam family "Bacterial small subunit ribosomal RNA", at positions 338 to 915 of the family's 1533-position model. The record is from RNAcentral.
CCUACGGGAGGCAGCAGUGGGGAAUUUUGGACAAUGGGCGAAAGCCUGAUCCAGCAAUGCCGCGUGCAGGAAGAAGGCCUUCGGGUUGUAAACUGCUUUUGUACGGAACGAAACGGUCUGCUUUAAUACAGUGGGCUAAUGACGGUACCGUAAGAAUAAGCACCGGCUAACUACGUGCCAGCAGCCGCGGUAAUACGUAGGGUGCGAGCGUUAAUCGGAAUUACUGGGCGUAAAGCGUGCGCAGGCGGUUAUAUAAGACAGUUGUGAAAUCCCCGGGCUCAACCUGGGAAUUGCAUCUGUGACUGUAUAGCUAGAGUACGGUAGAGGGGGAUGGAAUUCCGCGUGUAGCAGUGAAAUGCGUAGAUAUGCGGAGGAACACCGAUGGCGAAGGCAAUCCCCUGGACCUGUACUGACGCUCAUGCACGAAAGCGUGGGGAGCAAACAGGAUUAGAUACCCUGGUAGUCCACGCCCUAAACGAUGUCAACUGGUUGUUGGGUGCAUUAGUACUCAGUAACGAAGCUAACGCGUGAAGUUGACCGCCUGGGGAGUACGGCCGCGAAGGUUGAAACGUUAAAUUGAAUUGAGG